AUCCGGAGUUACUGGGCGUAAAGGGCGUGUAGGUGGUUACGUAAGUCUGGCGUGAAAUUUUUCGGCUUAACCGGGAAAGGUCGUCGGAUACUGCGGGACUAGAGGACGGUAGAGGCGUGUGGAAUUCCGGGUGUAGUGGUGAAAUGCGUAGAGAUCCGGAGGAACACCAGUGGCGAAGGCGGCUUUCUGGACAAAAACUGACGCUGAGGCGCGAAAGCUAGGGGAGCAAACAGG
This 234-nucleotide ribosomal RNA is filed under the name uncultured bacterium. RNAcentral describes it as "partial 16S ribosomal RNA". It matches the Rfam family "Bacterial small subunit ribosomal RNA", at positions 543 to 776 of the family's 1533-position model. The record is from RNAcentral.